Molecule: long non-coding RNA, 1459 nt
Organism: Branchiostoma floridae (Florida lancelet)
Lineage: Eukaryota; Metazoa; Chordata; Leptocardii; Amphioxiformes; Branchiostomatidae
Exons: 2
Source: RefSeq, a predicted model, not a curated record
GACCUGUACCUGAACAACCCACUGGACAACCAACCUUCACUCCAACUUAGCACAGAGGAAGAUGAUGAUGACAAACAUGCACAGCAGGAGGAACAAAUUGAUCUUGAUAAUUGUGCAAGAAACUCUCGAAAGCGCAAACUAGAUUCCCCAGAAGUGUGUCCUCCAUCAAGAAAAACCAGAACUUCCACAGAUGCUCCCAGUAUCUUGAGACAAAGUUCAACAAAAAAGUCACUUUUCAAGGGUAGUACCAAGGAAGCUCCGAUCCUCCAGAAGUCACGAGACCUCCCGAUCACCCUUCCUACUACACAGGAGUCCCACAAGCCAUGCAAGGUGCACAAGCCAGUACCGUCAUCCUCAAAUGAGACCCCUGAGAAAGACAGCGUGUAUCCGUCCAAGCAAGCCUUGCGGCAGGCGAUCUUGAACCUGAAGUAUCCUCCCAGGCAACUGAAGGCCCUCAUUAACAUAUAUGCAAAACAUCAACAACCAGGGAUGGAGGGCUGAUGGUACUGAUUGUGGAUGACUGAAAGUGUGAAAUCUCAAACCAGAGCUCAAAUGACCUCAAUGAACAGAUGAGCUACUCUACCACUGGUUGUGACAGAGAGGACUGACACUGUGUACAGUAUUUAUUGGUUCAUUGUACCGGGGAAAUUCCCACAACUCUUUUCAACAAGCACAAUGAACAUAGACGAAUUUGCAGAGAGGACAGAAGAGACACAGGAGCUAUUAUAUAUAUUAUUAUUAUUAUUAUCAAUAUCGCUGGAUACCAGGCUACAAUGAACGGUGGACCACAACUUAAUAUCGUGGUCUAAGGACUUCGACCCUUUCCGUCAGUGUGCAUGUCGGGGGAGCAACAGCCAGAAUUUGAACUCACAGCUUCUAGUUUCAGAGGCAGGGCUGCUAACCACUGGACUGCACAUACUGCUAAUAGUGCUAUGUAUGUGCAUGUAAGUUCAGUUAUUGAAGUGCAAUAAUAUCAGAUUGCUAUAUUUUGCAAUUUCCAGACUGAAAUUGCACUGCGGUAAAGUUUCCAAAAACAAGAUUGGAAGAUGUAAACUAUAACUCAAAAGACAUCAGUGCUUAUAUUUUACCUCAACCUCUAACCCAGAGUAUCAGUCUUUGAUGUCGUUAGGUAGUGUUCAAAAAUGAUUUCUGUACAUAUAGAGUUACAGCAUUUUAUGAGCCAAGGUGAAAAGUUCUACAGUUUUUGUACGGCUCUUGUAUCAUACUGAAAGUUUGAAAAAGAUGUGUAGGAAAUAGUGAAAAUUAUACGAAAGAAGUGAUGAUAUUUAUAAACCAAGUUUGUAUAGAAGAGUUUCAAUUUUCAGAUUAUUGAUUGAUUUCAUUUCAAGACAACUUAGUAGCCUCUUCAACUUUCAAAAGUUGAUUUCCAAAGGGGCCCAGUAAAUACGACAACAAGACAUGUAACAUUCAUGCAGGAGACAAAAGUUUAAAUGAUCAA